AAAAUGAUUAGCCAAUUUAAUGUUGCAACUCAUCCGGUUAUUUAUUGCCCUUUUACUUCAUAUUUGUUCAAUAUGGGAUUUCCAACAAGUCUCUCACCGAUGUUGUUUGAAUUAUUGUUUCAACAUUUUCUUAUGGAUUUGUCUUACAUAUUGCUUAUUGAUUUUUGCUUCUAAUUGCUUGUACUAUUGCAUUUUCGAUUGAUUGACUUGGAUUUUUUUUGGGUAUGCA
RNAcentral lists this unclassified non-coding RNA (229 nucleotides) under Hevea brasiliensis (rubber tree). Lineage: Eukaryota; Viridiplantae; Streptophyta; Magnoliopsida; Malpighiales; Euphorbiaceae. The record is from RNAcentral.